This 462-nucleotide ribosomal RNA is filed under the name uncultured bacterium. RNAcentral describes it as "bacterial SSU rRNA". It matches the Rfam family "Bacterial small subunit ribosomal RNA", at positions 28 to 507 of the family's 1533-position model. The record is from RNAcentral.
GACGAACGCUGGCGGCGUGCUUAACACAUGCAAGUCGAGCGAUGAAGCUCCUUCGGGAGUGGAUUAGCGGCGGACGGGUGAGUAACACGUGGGUAACCUGCCUCAUAGAGGGGGAUAGCCUUCCGAAAGGAAGAUUAAUACCGCAUAAGAUUGUAGUUUCGCAUGAAACAGCAAUUAAAGGAGCAAUCCGCUAUGAGAUGGACCCGCGUCGCAUUAGCUAGUUGGUGAGGUAACGGCUCACCAAGGCGACGAUGCGUAGCCGACCUGAGAGGGUGAUCGGCCACAUUGGGACUGAGACACGGCCCAGACUCCUACGGGAGGCAGCAGUGGGGAAUAUUGCACAAUGGGGGAAACCCUGAUGCAGCAACGCCGCGUGAGUGAUGAAGGUCUUCGGAUUGUAAAGCUCUGUCUUUGGGGACGAUAAUGACGGUACCCAAGGAGGAAGCCACGGCUAACUACGUG